This 2676-nucleotide unclassified non-coding RNA is filed under the name uncultured fungus. Its description in RNAcentral is "sequence contains 18S rRNA gene, ITS1, 5.8S rRNA gene, ITS2, 28S rRNA gene". The stretch from base 1482 to 2676 matches the Rfam family "Eukaryotic large subunit ribosomal RNA", at positions 1 to 961 of the family's 3401-position model. Lineage: Eukaryota; Fungi. The record is from RNAcentral.
GGAAGGAUCAUUAGCACCCUAAAUUUACAUUGGUUUCUGAGAGGGCCUCUUUUGGCUCUUUCGGAAACUAAUAUAAACAAAAAACAAAACCUUUAUUUGUGCACUCGUUUCGCCCUCUCUGUUUUUUCUUUCUCUCUCCUAAGGAGAGUUAAAAAAAAGGCUUUGAGGGCAAUUAAACUCCUUGCAUCUUUUUUCCCUAAAAAAGAAAAAAGGUGCAUCUCAAACUCUUGAAGAGUUAGGAGAGAGAGGGGUUGUUUCACAACAACCUUUUCUCGAUCCCAGCUCUUCAUAUCCAACCCUUUUCUCUCUCCUUUUUGGAGAGAGAGAGGGAAGGGGAGGGAGAGGGAGAAUUCAUUUUCUCCUUUCUUCUUCUUCUUUUAAACAACAAUUCUAAUUCAAGAUGUUUAAAAGACAGAAUUCACUUUCUUUCUUUUUUUCUUCUUGUCGGUUUCUCUUUCUUGCGAAAGAAUGGAGGAAGCGUUUAAUCAAAACGUAAAAGGAUCUUGAAGAGUAUUCUCUUUCGGGAGAAGAAAUUCGUUCUUUUCGAACUUGUUUUUUUAUCUCUCUUUGCAAAAGGAGUGUGUAAAAAAGCCUCACAGAGAUUCCAUAUCUUGUAUUUAUUUGCAAGAAGUGGUAGCUUUGUAAAUUUUCUUGUCUCCUUUUUUUCGAAAAAGGUAACAACAAAAAGAUAUACAUGAGAAACAACUCUUAACAAUGGAUAUCUUGGUUCCCGUAACGAUGAAGAACGCAGCGAAAUGCGAUACGUAAUGUGAAUUGCAGGGCUCAGUGAAUCAUCAAAUCUUUGAACGCAUAUUGCGCUCGUGGCGGCGUCAAAACCGAUGCGAGCACAUUCAUUUGAGGGGCUGCUUUAAUUCAAUACACACAAACAAACAAAAUCUCUCUCUAAGAGGGGUUCUGUUUCUUUGUGUAGUAACUGAAAGCUCUUCUGUCUCGCGUUAAAAAACGAGACACGAAGGAAAGUGAGUGACAUUUUCUCGUCAAAAAGGAAACGCCACUUGAAAUAAGCCCUUUUUCUCUCUCCCCAUUGUGUCGUAAAAAACAUGACGGGUUUUUUUUCUUUCUUGAUUUUUGAAAAAUAUCAAGGCACAAAAAGAAAAGAGGAGGAAAAAACUUUACAAACUUCUUUUGGUAUCCUCUUUUUGCUUUAUUGCGAAAGAGGGAAAGAAAGAGGAGCUUUUUUUUUUAAUCUUAAUUGAUGAAAAAAGAGAUCUUUGAUGGAAGGAAUACAUCUUUCGGGAUGCAUUUUUGAUAUUUUCUUUUUAAUUUACCAAUUGAAAUAGGUUUUUUCUACUUGCCAAAUUCUCUUUUUCACUUUAUGUCUUGGUCCAUAUGAAAUCAUAGGAGGAAAGAAAGAUAAAUAAUGUGAGAUGAAAAAAUGUUUCUAAACAAACAAAAGGGGAAAAGCGUCUUAGGGGCACUUUUUAUAUAAAAAGUGUUCGUGGGACAUAACCUUUUUUUUUAGCCCUCAAAUUGAGUGAGAUUACCCGCUGAAUUUAAGCAUAUAACUAAGCGGAGGAAAAGAAACUAACAAGGAUUCCCUCAGUAGCGGCGAGCGAAGCGGGAUGAAGCUCAAGUUGAAAAUCGGCGCUGGCGGAUGCCUUCACGGGUACUUAGAUGCCAUGCGACUGAAUUGUAGUCUACAGGUGUGUUUUCGCGAAGGAUCGGGCAUAAAUUUUUCUUGGAAUUGGGUGCCAGAGAGGGUUACAGCCCCGUAUAUUGGCCCGAGGAAUUGAAAAACCUUUGCUUAACGAAAGCAUACUGAAGAGUCAGGUUGCUUGGGAGUGCAGCCUUAAUUGGGUGGUAAACUCCAUCUAAAGCUAAAUAUUGACGGGAGACCGAUAGCGAACAAGUACCGUGAGGGAAAGAUGGAAAGAACUUUGAAAAGAGAGUGAAAUAGUGCUUGAAAUUGUUAAGAGGAAAAGCGAUUGAAACCAAUCAACUUUUUUCUCAAAAAUGUAAUCAGGUUGGAGUGUUUGGAUGGGAAACAGGCCUCAAAAGCUAAUCCUGUUCAUUAUGCUUCAAUCUGGGUCAACAUCGUUUCGCAAAGCAAAAGAAGGGCUCGGGGCGGUUCUGAUGGCCUAUCGGUAAUCCUUGUGGUUUCUGAUUGGGCUCGCCUUUUCCGUGGUCAUAUAUCAUCUGAAGCUUUUGUGGAAUGACGUACAAAAAUAAGGGGAAAGCCAAGCGGUGGGCCCUUGUCUUGUGCUGGUAGGUCGUGGAUGGAGACUCUUCGGAGUGUCUACUAUGCAUGCUUGCUGCAAGGAUGGGGACGCUCAACCUUUUCCCUCGGGAUGCUUUGACACCAAAUGGUUUUUAUCGACCCGUCUUGAAACACGGACCAAGGAGUCUAACAAAUACGCGAGUAGUAGGGUGGCAAACCUUAGUUAAAACAUUAUGAUGCGAAGUGAAAGCAAAAACGGGUUGGAUCUUCUACUCAGUGAAUGAGGAGGAGUGCACAAUCGGCCGACCGUCCCUCGGGAGUUGGUUUGAGCAAGAGCGUAUCUGUUGGGACCCGAAAGAUGGUGAACUAUGCCUGAAUAGGAUGAAGCCAGAGGAAACUCUGGUGGAGGUCCGUAGCGGUACUGACGUGCAAAUCGUUCGUCAAAUUUGGGUAUAGGGGCGAAAGACUAAUCGAACUAUCUAGUAGCUGGUUCCCUC